CGCGCGCCGACAGCGUGACGCCACUGCCGGCCGUCCGCUACCGGCCCUACCAGUCGCCCCUGGAGGGAUGGCAGCCGCUCGGGCAACUGAACCCGCACCAGGUGCUCUGCAAGUACGACCUGCUGGGCCGCUGCAACGCCCGCUCGUGCGCGUUCCAGCACGUGGGCGGCAAGCGGGCGGGCUCGCGGCCGCCGGCCGAGCCCCGCCACCACCACCAGCCGGCCGGGUCGGAGCUGCCGCGCUGCGCGCGCCCGCCGCCCGAACGCAGGUAAGCCGGCGCUCGUCCCGCUAGCAUAGUCGGCAGCUGUGUGUGUGACAUGAGUGGCGUGAGUGCGUGCUGGGCGCGGCCUGAAGGCGGACGGAUGUGGCGCGAGACUGCCAGUCGCCGUCGGUGUGCUCCCGUCGGCGCCAGACCGUCCGCAGCCUCCCCUGCCCGCCGCACUGGAGCCGCCCCUGCCCGCCGCGCUGGAGCCGCCCCUGCCUGCCUUCGGAGCGGUGCAACUGACUCGUGUCGGCCGGCACGUGUCAAGUGCGUCUCAGGGUGUUCUGCGCGGGUGCGUGCGUCGAGACACCGCGCGGGACGACUAUCUCGCGUAUAGGAUGUACAAAUGGGUGCUCUCCGUGUCAGCGGCGACUGGGACGGCCAGUUUCGGGACAGAAGAGGAUUCAAGAAGCAUCGCUCAACCAACGGGGAUGAGUGCCUGUUGCAGUUGCUCAUAUGUGUUCAGCAUGUAACGUUACUGGUACCGUGAGCUUAAUAUCUGAGCUUUUCAGAUAGAGAAAUAUACCGAUGUUAUUUCUUUGUUUUCUAAACUCUCGCGCUAGUUGGCAAGGAUCGAUCUCGCCGUCAUGUGAAUCGCAGGAGUGGAUGUGUGCAAUAUGGAUGCGGACUCCGUGUUCCAAGCACGGAGACUGAUGGAAUUUGUCGUCGCCGCACUGAUAACAAAAUUGUGGGGAAAUUUUGUGGAGCGCGCUGAUAAAUUCGUGCGUUGAUUUCCGCCAUGUGGGCCUCGUCCACAUCAGACGACGCGCUCACGGCGGCCCCGAUGAAUCGAAGACCCCUGGGCUCGGUUGUCACCGAUUGGUCAAAGAUCCGAGGCUGUUUCAGUCCGCGGUGAUGCUUGCGGUGUUUGAUGGGCUGUGACCAGAGGCCUUCCCCCAGCGCGUCUCACCUGUCGUGUGGACGCUGUACAAAUACGUCCGCGUACCGUGUCGCCUAGCUGUGCGCUGUUGCCUGCUGGUGGCCGCGGUCGCCGCUGUAAGUCAGCAGCCGUGUGGUCCGGCAUGGCCGUGACCAGGAGAUCGGAACAAAACAUGGGAAUACACCAG
This is a long non-coding RNA of Pollicipes pollicipes, 1329 nucleotides long. RefSeq lists it as uncharacterized. The record is from RefSeq and is a predicted model, not a curated record. The transcript has 3 exons. NCBI's taxonomy places the organism in Eukaryota, Metazoa, Arthropoda, Thecostraca, Pollicipedomorpha, Pollicipedidae.